UGCGUAGGCGGCGCGGUAAGUCGGGUGUGAAAUCUCGGAGCUUAACUCCGAAACUGCAUUCGAUACUGCCGUGCUUGAGGACUGGAGAGGAGACUGGAAUUUACGGUGUAGCAGUGAAAUGCGUAGAUAUCGUAAGGAAGACCAGUGGCGAAGGCGGGUCUCUGGACAGUUCCUGACGCUGAGGCAAGGCCAGGGGAGCAAC
RNAcentral lists this ribosomal RNA (202 nucleotides) under uncultured bacterium. RNAcentral's name for it is "partial 16S ribosomal RNA". It matches the Rfam family "Bacterial small subunit ribosomal RNA", at positions 568 to 772 of the family's 1533-position model. The record is from RNAcentral.